UAAAAUUAACCAAUUGGUGUCAAAUGAAACACAAAGAAAGUGUUGGGAAUCUGACUUUUUGUUCUAAAAAUAAUGACUAAAAGACAGGUUCAAAUUUACAGUCUGACAUCAAGCAAGGACCUAAUCACUGCAUCAUCGACAACAUCCCUCAUCGAAAGAGGAACAAAGAUAUAGAUUGUAUAUAAAGCAAAAAUGGAGGAACAAAUGUCACGACCUUACUUGAACAGGAUCUGUUCUAUAGGCUCGUACCUCUGUUACCCUUAGCACAAAGGAGACAGUAUUCCAAGUUUGGUUGAUGAACUGAGACUGUGCGAUCAGAGCGUGAUUAUUGGUCUUGCCUUCCUGUUGAUGGUUGGCUUAGGCUGCAGAGGAUCGUUCUUAUCCAGCUUUGUCUGGCUGAGAUGGUCACACAGUUGUCUGACAAGCUACAUAUUUCUUUUUUUUUUUCCGCCCAGAGCUGCUGCGACGAUAGAGUAAGGCUAGCUUAGAAAUCUUGGAAAGGAGUAAAUUAACUGGACUCAAAACUCACCUGAAAAAACAUCAGACAGUCAGUUGGAAGAGAGAAAUAAGAUCCAUGAAUGAGAGAAAGACAUUUUUGAGAGCACAAAGAAUGUCACUAUUACAACAGAUUCUAACCCUUUUCUUCACAAAAAAAAAAAAUGGAAUGCCGACGUUUCAUGUAAUCAUCCACUCUAAUAAUUUUCGCAGCUCUUAUAUUUAUGUAUUUAUUGUUCAAUUUCUGGAUUUUCUGAAUUGGGAGGUCUUUGCUACAGAUGCUGGGUUGGGAAAGAGGUUUAACAAGAUCAUGGCUUUGGAUUAUUUUACAACCACGCCGGUGAUAAAGGAUCCUGCUGCUGGGACCUAUACUUCUUUCCAGGUUCCGGUGCACGCUGUGCCCAUUUUCGUGCCUGUUCAGGUGGAAUAUUCGGUUGGGCAGUACCAGCAGAAGGUAGUAACUUUGUUUUAGUUCAAAAAUAAGAGGAGUGCAUUUUGUUUCGGAUAAAUAUUUUAUGCGCUGUUUUUUUAUUGCGCUUGGGGUUUAAAAGUAAUUUUUCACUACAAAGCAACGAACAACAUUUUGCUUUUGAUGCCAAACUGUGGUCGAAAAAAUGUUUUUUCACUCAAACACAAAACUUAGAAUAUAAGUGCAUGAAAUUUAUAUAAAAAAAAACUAUUAUUUAUAUUAUCCAGGUUUAUAAAAAUUAGAUUAAUUUAUAUUAUAUGUAUGGUUAUAUUAAAUUAAAAUUUAUAUUUCAUGUUUAAAUGAUAUAUAAUUUGUGAUACUAACUCAAUUGACGAUAUUAUUGAUAAGAUUAUAACACACUCACAAUAUGAGUAUAAAUAAUUAUAUAUUAUAUUUAUUAAGAAUUCACGUACAAAAAAAUGUUACUUUAGUUAAAAUGGUAAAGUUGGAAGAGUGUAUAUUUGGUGUUUUGAGUUUAAAUUCUAUCGUAAGCAUGAAUUUUUUUCUAAAUUUUAUAUAAAAAAGAUAAAAAUACUCUUAAAUUAAUAUUUAUUGCUUUGUUAAAAUAAAAAUAAUUUGGUAAUUUAAUAAUUGAGUUGGAACUCAAUUAUGAGUGUCGCAACCAUUUUUUUGAAAAACAAGUCGACUUUGUUUGAAAGCGAAAAUUAAAAACGGGAGUAGCCACCAAUCCUUUUUUUAUGAGGUGUGAUCAGGUCACAUCGUAAUCUGGUUGUUUUAAUAAAAUAUAUCGAUUUAUCAAAACAACGAUUUUGGUCUACGAAAUUCAAGAAAACGAGUUUGAGAGUCGGUUACGUGCGAGGAAGGAUUAGCACCCUCUUCACGCCCAAAAUUAGUACCUAAUUGAUUAAUUGGUUUUUUAAUGUCGAAAGUAGAAAACUUGAAAAGAGUUUUAAAAUACGAUUCCUCUUUGUAUUAAUGUUAAUUUUACUUAAAAAUGUGUGGAUAAAUCGAAACGGAUGCUAAAGACUUUCUUAUCCCAAAGUAAUAAAAUAUCACAUCCAGUGCGUUAGGACACGACAUUUUAAACCCUAAAAAAUAAGCUUGUCUUUUGAUUUUCAAAACACAUGCAUUUUAAUUUUAAAAGGAUAUUCGGUCAUUUGGGUCAAACGAAAAAAAUCGAAACCCAAUACGUUAGGGUACGAUCUCUCGAAUUUUCAAACACAAAAUAUUACCUUUAUUAUUAUAAAAAAAAUUAUGUGACGGGUGAAAAUUAAUGCAUCAUGGUAUUAAAAUAUAAAAAAAGUCGCGAUGCUAAUACACGUAACAAAAUAAUAAUGAAUGCAAUAAUAUGAACGAGGAUAACAAAGGCAAAAAUAAAUAAAUAAGCCGAUUAUAAAUAAGAGAAAGGCAAGUAAAAAAAUAAAAAUAAAAAUUAAAAACAAUAGCAGACAAACACAGAAAUAAAUGAUAUGUGCAACGGCUAAAAAGUAAUAAUAACAAAAAUAAUAAAGUUUGGAAUUAUAGAAAGGUAUGAAUAAGCAAUAAAAUGAUAAAACCAAAACAAAAUAAAUAAAAAGGUAAAUAAAUAGAAAAUAAAAAGGUAAAAGGGGUGAAAAUAAAUAAAUAAAGGUGAAAUUAGAGUGAAUUUCAAGAAAUAGAAGUCGAAAAUAAAUGAAGACGUAAAAUAUAAAAGUAUUAAAAAUAAAUGAAUAAAUAUAUAUAAUGAAAUAAAAAUAAUGAGGGUAAAAACAAAACAAAAUAAUAAGAAAGAAUGAUUAAAUGAAAUAACGAAUAAAUAUUAGUGAAAGUUUAAUUAAAAAUUGAGAUUAAGCACAUAAAUGUAUAAAUAAAGAAAUAUUAAGUAAAAUGGUUUUAAAAUAAUAAUGAUAAUAAUAGUAGAAUGGUAAUAAUAAUAAUAGCGAUAAUAGUAUAAUAAAAUAAAUAUAAAUAUAAAUGUAAUAACAAUAAUAAUAUAUUAAAUUAACUAAUUUAAUAAUAAAAUAGCAAAAGUAGCAAAAAGGACCUAAUUGAGUCUAAAAACAAAAUUUCGAGGCAAAUCAGAAAUAAAUAAAAAGGAAAUGGACUGAUUUAAACGCAUGAAUAACAAGGUGGGACCAAAAGGGCAAUACUCCCUGACCUCCAAAACGUACAGCAUCAGGUGGGACCAAAUUGAAAGUCAAAAUAUAUUAUACAGCAAAAUUAAAAAAUAGGAAAAACAUAAUUGCAAAAUCAUAAAAAGCGAAAGGACCUAAAUCGAAAUUUGCCCUUCCAAGAAAAAUAUGCGGAUCCUAGCUUGGAGCGGGUCGGAUCGGGUCGGUUGAGCUUGAAACGACGCCGUUUUGGGGUUUAAGGACCCAGACCAAAACGACGUCGUUUUAGCACUCUAUUUAAGCAAAUUUUCCAAAAAAAAAAAUUCAUUUCAGCAUUUGUUUUAAAAAAAAGAACCUUCCUCCCUCUCUUUUUUUCUCUCUGCAGAAGCCUUAGGCCGAUCAGAGCUCCAGCGAACCGCUGCCGCGACCACCGCCCUCGACCGCUGUGCACAGUUGUUGGAGCUCGGAAAGAAGCCCCCUUUUUAGUCAAUCGGAGAAUAGGUAAUAAAUCCCUCUCUUUUUUUGUGUGUGUUUUUGAUAUAUAUAGGUAUAUAUAUAUAAUUUCCGAAAAAGAAAAUAAAAAUAAAAUGAAGAGGUACCCUUAGCACGUCUCAAACUUUGGAUUCUCUUUCGAAAUUCUUGUUUUUUUUUUUGUAUCUUUCUCUGUUUUUUAUUUCAAAAAAUCCCCCUUUUACAUUGAUAAACGAUGGCUUUUUAUAGUCGAUUAUGUUACAUUGUUUGCUACUAUUCAUGCACUAUUUAUUUCCUAUUUUUGCGCUGCUGUUGCGUGUUCUUCUUCUUAUUUGUAGAAUGAUUGAUGGCGGUGGAGCAAGUGGCUGACAGAGGAGUGCGGGGUGCUUGAACAUGCGGCUAGGGUUUUCUUUCUUUCUUUUUUUUUUGGCUAAAAAUGUUUAGGUUGUGGGCUUUUGGACUGCUAGAGUUUUUUAGGUUUUGGGCUAGUGUUUAAUUUUGGUUUGGGCUUGUAAUUUAUUGGGCUGUGUUUGUAAUUUAGACUUUGGAUUUAUUAUUAUUAUUUUAUAUUUGUAAUUUGUCUUAAGCCCAGGCCAAAAUUAACCUUUUACAAUGAGUGACACCAAUUCAAUCAAAAUCUUUAUAUAUAACAUAGAUAAUUUAGUACAAAUUACACAUUCAUUGUGUGAAAAUUAAUAAAUAAAAAUACGUAAAAGCAAAAGUAA
Molecule: long non-coding RNA, 4211 nt
Filed under: Gossypium barbadense (sea-island cotton)
Lineage: Eukaryota; Viridiplantae; Streptophyta; Magnoliopsida; Malvales; Malvaceae
Description: long non-coding RNA (GBAR_LNC008874)
Rfam family: Plant small nucleolar RNA U3 (bases 210-427)
Source: RNAcentral